AACCAUAAGAGACUCUUAAAUACAGAGAACAAACUGAGGGUUACUGGGGGGGUUGGGAUAGGGGGUAGGGGAAAAUGUGUGGUGGGCAUUGAGGAGAGCACUUAGGAUGAGCACUAGGUGUUGUAUGUAAGCGAUGAAUCAUGGGAAUCUACUCCUUAAGCCAAGAGCACACGGUGUGUUAGCUAACUUGACAAUAAAUUAUAUUAAAAGAAUAACCAAAACUAUAUGGUAUUGAUAGAGGUAUGGACACAUAGAUCAAUGGAACAGAAUAAAGAAUCCAGAAGUAGACCACACAAAUAUGCCCAACUUAUGGUGCAAAAACAAUUCAAUGAAGGAAAGAUAUUCUUUCUAAAAAAUGUUUAUUUUGAGAGAGAGAAAGAGUGGGGGGGGGGUGCGCAGAGAGAGAGGGAGAGAGAGAAUCCUAAGCAGGCCCCAGGCUCAGUGCAGAGCCUGACAUGGGACUAGAUCUCAUAACCAUGAGAUCAUGACCUGAGCUGAAAUCAAGAGUCAGAUGUUUAACCGACUGAACCACCCAGGCACACUGGAAAGAUAGUCUUUUCAACAAAUGAUGGUAGAGCAAGUGGGUAUCCAUACGUUAAAGAAUAAAAACAAAAACAAAAAAAGAACCUUGAACUAAGUCUCACACCUUAUACAAAGAUUAAUUCAAAAUGAAUUAUAGACUCAAGUGUAAAAUAUAAAAUUAUAAAACAUUUAGAAAAGAACAUAGGAGGAAAUUGUCAGGAUCUAGGACUAAGCAAAGAGUUCUUAGACUUGACACCAAAAGUAUGAUCCAUACAAGGAAAAAUUGAUAAAUUGGACUCUAUAAAAAUUUAAGAUUUUAGCUCUGUGAAAGACUCUGUUAAGAAGAUGAAAAGACAAACUACAAACUGGGGUAAAAUAUUUGCAAACCACAUACCCAACAAAUGAUUAGUUUAUAGAACAUAUAAGGAACUCUUAAAACUCAACAGUAAAAACAAACAAGCAAUUCAAUUAGACAAUGGGGCUAAAAACAUGAAGAGAGACAUUUCACUGAAGAAGAUAUACAUAUGGCAAAUAAUCACAUGAAAAUAUAUUCAAAGUAAUGCAAAACCAGGGGCACCUGGGUGGCUCAGUUGGUGAAGUGUCCAACUCUUGAUCUCAGCUCAGGUCUUGAUCUCACAAUCAUGAGUUCAAGGCCUGCAUUAGGCUCUGUGUUGAGCUCCACACUGGGCAUGACGCCUACUUGAAAAAAAAAAAGUAAUGCAAAAACAAAACCAAAAUGAGAGAUCAUUAUAUAUGUCUCAAAAUGGCUUUUAAAAAAAAAGCAAUACCAAAUGCUGGCAAAGUGCAGAGAAAUGAUACAUAGCUGGUGGAAAUGUAAAAUGGUAUAGUCACUCUAGAAAAUAGUUUGGCAGUUACUUAAAAAAACUAAAUAUACACUUUUCAUAUGACCUGCCGCAAUUGUACAUGUAGGCAUAUAUCCCAGAGAAAUGAUAACUUAUAUCCACACAAUACCUGUACACCAUUGUUCAUAGCAGCUCUAUUCACAAUAACCCCAAACUGGAAACAAACCCAGAUGCCCUUCAAUGGGAGAAUGCUCUUCAAUGGGGAAAUAAUUGUGGUACAUACACACUAUAGAAUAAUACUUAGCAAUAAAAAGGAGUGAGCUACUGAUAUACACCACAACCUGGAUAACUCUCCAGAGAAUUAUGUUGAGUUAAAAAAAAAAAAAAAAAAGCCAAUCCCCAAAUCCCCAUAUAUACUCUAUGAUUCCAUUUAUAUAUUCUUGAAAUAAUGAGAUCAUUUAAUUGGAGAAAAGAUUGGUGGUUGCCAGGGGUUAAGGAAGGAGUGAGGGGCUGGAGGGAAAUGGGUAUGGCCAUAAAAGGGCAACAUGAAAGAUCCCUGUGGUGAUAGAAAUGUCUUAUAGCUUCCCUAUAUCAAUGCCAAUAUCCUGGUUGUGAUACUGUGCUAUAGUUUUGUAAGAUAUUAUCAUUGGUCAGAACUGGGUAAAGAGUAUUCUAUUAUUUCCUACAAUUGCAUGUGAAUUAUCUUAAAAUAAAAACGUUACUUUUUUAAAAGAGUUUUGUACAAGCUCUUUAUAGACCUCACCCUGGGAGAUGGAGCAUAGCUGAAAAUAUAUACAGAACACAGAAGGUCUUAAUAAAUGCACGUAUGACAAAUCCCUAAGAUCCUUGGGGUUCUUAUUGUCAGGGAGGGUAGCCAUGUCCCCUCUAACAUUCUUUGUGAUUCUGUCAAUACUGGGACCUGAAUAAGGGAGCCAUCAGGCAAAGCUGGAGGGCAAGUCCCAACUUUUUAUGUUGCAGAAAGAUUUGAAAGGAGUUGAGGGACAGAUGUGAGGAAGGACAGAGCAAGCUCAAGAGCCACCUCCUCCAGGUAGCCUCUGCACUGUUGUCCAAGUUAGGUAUCCCCUCCCUCUGCUCCAUUAACCUUCAUUAUAAUCUACUGUGAUCAACAACUUACUUUUCUGUCUUCCCUCUCUAUACUGUAUAUUUCUUGAGGGCUGAGAUCACCUCUCAACUUGCCUCUCCAUACCCUAAAUGUUUUGUUUUUAGAUUAAAACAAAUAAAAGACUAUCUACUCUAAUUUUUAGCUGUAGGGCCAAGACCUUCUUUUGUGUGGGGGUGUACUGAUUGGCAUAUCACCAGCAUCUCUCUUGCAUGAGCACCCAGAAUGCACUGAUUGCCUUUUUCAGUUUUGAUUUCUUUAACAUGGGUUGGAAACCGGAAAGUAUUUGAGAAGCUAUCUGAAUGCAGAAUGCUAGAUUUUUUAAUGAUUUUCCCCUUCUUUUUCAGUUGUCUCACUAAUACAUAAUUUGAUAAAAUUUUUAAGCAACUUGCUGUUACAGAAUCUUUCUAAACAGCAACAUUAGUUUAGUACUCAUAUUUUAUUGGUUUAUGUAACAUUUAGUUAAAUUAUAUAAUAAGAAUAAUAUGCACAGCUGGCAUAAACAGGCUGAGUUAAAAACAAAUGACUCUUGGUAAGCAUGCAAUUCAACCAAAUGGGGGAUCGCAAGUGCACUGCAUCCUAGCCAUGAAGGUUUGAUGAGCCAUGAGUAUAAGUCAGUAUGUUUUACAAAAGAAUUGAUGGUGUCACUUAAGCCAGUGAGCCAGGUAAGUACAGGUUGUUUAAAGUUCUAUUUUAAUAGUAUCAGUAAUAAUAACUAACACUUACUGAGUGCGUAAUAAGUGCCAGGCAUCGCACUAAAUGCUUCUAUACAUAUCUCAAUUAAUCAUUACCUGAAGAAAGUAUUAUCAUCCCCAUUUUAUAGAUAAGGAAACUGAAGCUCAAUGAAGUUCUUCCAAGUUCUCAUAGCAAUUAGGUAGUAGAGCUGCGUUUCUGUCCAAUUCCAAAAUCCAUGCCUUUAUACACUGUACUAUGUUAUUUCUAGUAUUUGUCUUGUGGAUGAACAAAGGAAUGCAGGCAAGUAUGCAGGGGACAGGGAAAGGCUGAGAGUUGGGAGACAUUUUCCUACAGUUGAGAAAAUGUCCCUUGAAGAGGAAAUGGCUCAUUCUUGGCAUUUUCUGAGGUGAGAGAGGUUCCUAAGGAGAGGGUUGGAUGUUCUUAGAGGGGUUGGUAGUGGGGAGGAGGCCCACAGAGAGUGAUGGGGGAAACCUAGACCUGGUACUGGAACAUGUAGGUCCUGUUUCCUGUAUCUGUUCCAGACUUCUGAACACCAUUAACAUUGACCUCCCUUUAAUUCAAUCCUGGCUCCUUUUCUUUCAGUUGAAUCUGGCUGGAAUCUUUAAACUUAAUUAUAAAAUGAAAGGAAAACAACAAAGCUACACUCUCAGUGCCUGAACUCAUGACCCCAAACAUACUAGCAGCUGAACCACAGACCAGCUUGGCUGCCAAGGCUCAUGGGCCAAAUACCUCCCCAUUUCAAUUUCUCACCUCAGUCCUGAGUGGAGCAUGAUGGACUCAGGCAGCACCAUGGCGGGAGCUGGGGGGCCUCAGGUCUUCCCCAAACCUCCUUCUUAGCCACCCUCUCUGAUCAUCUGUCCUCUGACCAGCUGUACACCUCUGUGCCUCAGAGCUGCCUAACUGCAGGGGUCCUGGUCUCCUGGUAAGGAAAACAGUCAAGGUCUGGCUCCCCCUAUGUUGGAUUUCAGUCCCUCCUCCCUCCUUGCUCCUAUCCAUCCCCAAUUCUCCUGCUUCCUGGGUGACUCUUAUCCUUAGAAGAAGAGGCCCUGCUCCCAUUCUCGGCCCCAUUUGCCCCUGCCCUGUUAAAUCCUGUUACCUGAAUCAUACCUACUGGCUGAGAUUUACGCUACUUUUCUUCCUCACUCAGGUUCCCAGCUGAUAUCUGGGUCUGGUCUCUCCUCUACCUCGUACCUUAGAGAAGGCACUAUGCUCCCUGGUGCUUCACUGUCUCCUGCUGGGUCCCUUCCAUAACCUGGAGCAGAUUCUUCACCUCCAGCAACUUGUUCUCUCUGCUUGGAAUGCUCUUCUAUCCUUUCUUAUGUGGCUACUUUUAAAAUUAUCCUCUGGAUCAUAGCUUAGAUGUCAUCUCCUCCAAGAAGCUCCUCCAAUCCCACAUCUGCUUUGGGAGCCUUCUCUCUGUGUUGGGUGCCUUUUUAGCUCUUAAAACACCAUACUGGAAUUGACUGUUUAUUUGUAUGUCUUCCACCCUGGGCUCUGAGCCCUGAGAACCUAUAUCUUGUUCACUGGUGUGUACUAGCACUUAACAGUAUUUGUCAUGUGGUAGGUGCCCAAUGAAUGUUGUUUAUUUAGCUUAUUAAUCAAUCAAUGAUUAAAUGCCUUCUGGUUUGAAAGCCUGACCUACUACCAAUCAACUUUCAUCUGCUGUAUGAUGAUAGUUUUGUCUCCCUGGUCAUGUAUGGGGCAGAAUGACUCUAGUAAAUGAGGUCACCUGGUCACCCACCUCCUCAGUGGACCCAUCUAGGUUCCCAGAAACCUUCUGGCCUCCUAUCUAUAGAUUUUCCAAUAUCAAAAAUACUAUAUAUGGACAAUGUAUUCUUAGUCAAGGUAGACUAAGUUUGUGGCUGUAACAACCCCCAUCCAGUGGUUUAAGGCAAGGAAGGUUUAUUUCUCCUUCAUACCGUGUGUGGAUCAUGGUUGGGCUGAGGGCUCUGCUUUGCACUGGCAUCUCUCAAGGACCCAAGCAUGGAUCUAAGAAGUCUUAUAGUUAGGAAAAAAAAGUUAAAAUCCUUUUAACCUGUUUAACCUGUUUCUCAAAUUAUUUGACCCUAAAAUCCUUUCUGUUGUAUAACACCUAUUUCUAUCCUAUGGACAACCCCAUGUUCAGAAACGCCAGUCUAAAGGAGUUGAAGCAUAACAGAUUUCUGUGGACAUCUAAUCAGUGAUAAAAUGAGUAAAGCAGUCUCUGCUCGCAUUUAUUGAUAUUUAAAAUGUGUUCAAAUAUCUGUGGAGGCUUUACUUUGUGCCAAGUGUAGUGCUCUUCCAGGUGCUGGGGAUACAGGACUUGUGAAAUGUAUAUGGUCUUUGCUCUCAUCAAGCUUCCCUUCCAAUGGGAAAGACACAUAUUCAAUCACUAAUGGCCACCCUCACUAUGCACGUAAAGUAAAUGUGUUCCAAAGUGCUGUGGAAGAAAGGCACAGGGUAUGCAAUGAGAGUGUGUAAUAGAACGACCUUGCCUAGUCAUGUAAGGCUGCCCCAAGGAAAUUUAUCUGCCAUUUAACAGGAUGAACAGUUAGUUAGGCAAAGUGGGGGUGGGGAGUAGAGGUUGUGGGUAAAGGUGAGAAAUAUAUCAGGCAGAGAAAAUAGCAUGUUCAAAGGCCCUGAGAUAGGAACAGAGAAGUCAGUAAAUUUGGAACACUUGAGAAAGGGGGAGGAAACAAAGGGCUAUAUUGUACAGGCCUCGCUGGUCAAGUAAGCAUUUUGGGUUUUAUUCUAAGAGCAAUGGGAGCCAAUGAAAGGGCUCCCAAUCCAACAGGGAAAAUGCAGACACUUUCAGCUAAUUAAUUGUAUGGCUUUUUAGAGUAUUUCGUUGGCAUAGAAUAUUAUGCUUUACAAAAUGCUUUCAUGUCAUUAUUUUAUGUCUUCCUUGUAGCAGCCUCCUGACAGAGAUAGUCCACGUAUUAGCGUGGAUGGAAUCUGAGGCUCAGAGAUGUAAGCAACUUGUCCAGGGAGCUAGCCAGGGAGAAGGCAUCCACAUCCUGGUCACUUUACUUCUUAGGCCAGUCAUGCAGAGAAAGUACUGGCUCUGCAUGAGUUUGCCUUAGAAUCUAUGUCCUUGUUGGCAGAGAGGCCUUUUACUGAAGGGCUGUAGAGUGGGAAUAGUGGUCAAGAGCCUGCCAAACUGAAGUUCAAAUUCCACUGCAGCAACCAUUUACUAGCUAGGUGACCACUAGCAAGUUACUUAACCUCUCUGACCCUAAAGUUAUUUGGGUAACCUCAUAGAGUUACUAUAAAGAUUAAAUGAGAUCAUUCAAAAGGUGUAAAUGUCUGACACUUAGUAGGAGCUCAAUGGAUAUCAGUUUGAUUUUUUAGAGAUGACUCUUUCUUUUAUUUUGGAACCUUGGGAUAUACUGAAUGUGGAAGCUAAAUGAGGCUAAAAUCCCUUCAUACCAGGGUUCAUUGUAAAUGAAAUGGGUUGAAUCCUUGUGUGAUUUUCAGACAUUCAGGAUGGUACAGCGGAGGAAGAAGUGCUGGGGCCUUUCUCAAUAACAAUGCUGAUGCUCAAAGUAAAGACUUUACAGCUGGCACUUCUACUUUCUAUACUGUGUAGGGGACUUCCGCAGAUGAUAAUUCCCCUGGGAGCUAAGUGCAGGGGAGUAAUUGCCUAGGUGUUCUCCCAGGUGGCUAUUUUAUGGUGGCCUUGAGAGCCACAUUCAAGCAGCUGUCUAGGGGUCAAGACCCUGGAGAAACAGCACUUAAGAGUCUCAAAGUCCUGCUAAACAUCAGCUGAAAGGCCUUCCCAGAGAGUUGAUAUUAGGCUGAAGUACAGAGUCCUGGAGCACAGGGAAUAUCUGUGAUUCACUGGGUAUCCUUGACCAUUUGUGGGGCUUCUAAUUCAGGGCAGUAUAGAAACUUGUGAGAUCUGCCCUCCUCCCUAGGGUAUGAUGUUGUACUCUAAGUACUUUAUAUGGAGAAGAUAGGCCUUGAGUUUUCCUAAGGCUUAUCUUCUUGCAAUUAAUCUUUGCUCUUGAAGGUGGGCCUACCAAAAGUGGGUAGUAGGUUGAGUAGGGUCUCAGAGAAAGGUCUAAAUCAGUGACCUUCAAACAUGUCUACCCUGAAUCACGGGCUGAAAUAUAUUUUGCAUGAUGACCCAGCAUAUACACGUACACACAUCCGUCUGAAACAAAAUUUCAGUAAGCAGUACCUAUACUUACAUAUGUGAUGUACCUUGGUAUUUUAUUUUCUAUUUUAUUUCAUUAAAUUUAUUUCAUGACCCACUAAUGGAUUGCAACCUGCAUUUUGAGCAACAUAGGUCUUAUAGAUGAUGACUAAUCCUUGAAGGUGAUUGAAGAAUAUGUUAUCCACGAAUAACAAAAUUCAGAUGAACAAUGGGAAAAGCUGAACAGACUGGCUGUAUACUUUAAAUGCUCAUAGCAGGGGUGCCUUGGUGCUUCAGUCAGUUAAGCCUCCAACUCUUGGUUUUGGCUUUGGUCAUGAUUUCAUGGUCAUUAGAUUGAGCCCCACAUAGGGCUCCAUGCUCACAGCACAGAGCCUGCUUUGGUUUCUCUCUCCUCCCUCUCUCUCUGCUCCUCCCCUGCUUGCACUCUCUCUCUCUCAAAAUAAAUAAACAUUAAAAAAUAAUUUCUAGAAAUAAAAUAUUGAAAUAAAAACAACUCAAUGGAGUGGUUAAGCAGUUGAUAACACUGCUGAAGAAGGAAUUAGUAAAUUGGAAAGCGAAUUGGAAAGUACCCAAAAUGCCUCUCACAGAGUUACGGUCAUGGAAAAUAUGAAGAAGUUAAGACAUGAGAAAUAAAAUGAGAAGGUACAAUAGAGAUAUUAGAAAUUCCAGAAGAAGAGAACAGAGAGAAAAGAGAGAGAAGAAAUAUAAAGAUUCAUUGGUGGCAAAUUGACGGGUAUUGAAUGCAAAAAAAAAGUUCUCAGUAAGAAGGAACACAACUGGAUUCCCAAGCAGAAUAAAUAAAAAGAGAUUUACACCUAAAACCGUUAGUGACUCUGCAGAGCAUCUAAGAGAAAAAUCUUACAAGCUAGCAGCAUAAUGACAAUCAGGCAACAGGCUUCUUAUUAGGAGCAAUGGAAACCAGAAGAUAAAAAAUUAUAGCCUCAAAAUUCUGAAGGAAAAUAACUGUCAACUUAGAACCCAGGGGAGCCUGGGUGGCUUAGUCAGUUAAGCAUCUGACUCUUAACUUUGGCUCAGGUCAUGAUCUCGCGGUUCAUGUGUUCAGUCCCCUCGUAGGGCUCUGCAUAGACAGUGUAGAGCCUGCUUGCGCUCUGUCUCUGUCUCUCUCUCUCUCAAUAAAUAAACUUUAAAAAAAUUAUUUAAAAAAUUUUUAAAAAAGAAAAUUCACCAUCUUAUAACUACUAUAGGUAUAAUUAAUUGAUUCGAGCCAGAUAAUCAAUGGAUGCUAAAAUCCCUGGAUCAAAAAUAUUUAGAGGACAGGAUAUUCACAGUCUCAAAUCCUGCCCCUACCCACAUCAUAAUGUAUUACUCAGAGAGGGCAAAGGACACCUUUACAAUGGAGAAUCUUGAAUGAUGCUACCUUAAAAAUGAUCAAACGUAUCAUCACAAAUAAUGAGAGAAACUGAUAUCAUAUGCCUGUUGAUAUGAUGCACUGAGAAGGAAACAUCACCUACAUGGUAUUCCUGCCCAAAAUGUUUAGCCUGAAUUUAACCAUGAGGAAACCAUUAGAUAAAUCCAAAUUGAGAGACAAUCUGCUGCCUGGACUUUUCAAAACUCAUAAAAGACAAAAAACAAAAACAAAAACAAAAAAACCUUGGAGAACUAUUCCAGAAUAAAGGAGAUUAAAAAGACAAAAUAAAUACAAUGAAAGAUCUUACAUUGGGAUGAGGGAGGGGGAGUUAUAAAGAACAUUACUGGGAGAAUAGAAGGGUUUUGAAUAUGAACUCAUCUAUCAGGCAAAUGUUAAAUUUCCUGAAAAUGAUCAUUACACUGUGCAGUACAGACGAAUGUCCUUGUUCUUAAAAGAUAUCUGAAGUAUUUAGGGAUGAAGUGUCAUUUAUGUCAGCAACUAACACACAAGUGUUUUAGAACAAGAAAGGGAGAGUUAAACCAAAUGUGGAAAUAGUUACAAAUUGUUCAUCUGUAUCAGAGUAUAUGAGCAUUCAUUGCAACAGUGAACUUUGCUGUACAGUUUUAAAUUUGUCAAAAUAAAAAGCUGGAAGAAUAGAAGCAGUUUCAAAACAAAUACAACAACACCUAAUGAAAGAAUGGAUCUAGUCAAUGAUAGUAAAUGGCUGUUAAAACCAUUAAGUGAAAAGCUGAUGGAGGGAAAAAAGCUGAACGUGAACUUUAUAAUGGAUAGAUCCAGCUGACAGCAACUGAGCCCACUGAUUAAUCUUGAUAUUUAAAAAGAAAAACGACGAGGAAUUAUGUGGUCCUGACGUGAUGCAAUAGGAAGUUCACACCAACUGUAAAAUAUUCUAGCCAAAAAAUCAAAUCUGAAGCCAAGCAACUCUGGAAUCUACCAUUUUAAAGGGACAGAGAAACAUGUUAAAUGAUACCACAGGGGUGCUAUCAGCAAAAUCCAGAAUGAAGGAAAUUCCAUAGGACAAAUGGUCCACAGUUUCUUCAAUAAAUAAGUUGCAAGAAGAGGAAAGAAAGUAUAGCCUAGGAGUGCCUGCGUGGCUCAGAUGGUUGAGUAUCAAGCUCUUGAUCUCUGCUUAGGUCAUGAUCUCACCCGUGACAGGCUCUGUGCUGAUAGUGCAGAGGCUGCUUGGGAUUCUGUCUGUCCUCUCUCUCUGCCCCUCCCCCACCUCUUUCAAAAACAAAAUAAACAUUAAUAAAUUUUUUAAAAGAAAUUUUCAAAAAUUUAAAAAGAAAGUGUAGCGUAUAGAACUUAAUAGAUAUUUGAUGAGAGUAAGGAAUUAUAGUUAAUUUUUAUUUAAGUGAGAUAAUGCUAUUGAGGUAAUGCUAAAAGUGUCCUUAACUUUUAGAAAUGCAUGUUAAAUCAUCGACGGGUGAGGUGAUUUGAUGUCUGUGUCCAAAUAGUCCUGGCAGAUAGAAGAAAUAAGAUUGGCCCUAUGUUGAUAAUUAUUGAAACUAGUUGAUAGGUAGAAAGAUCUUUUAAGGGACGUCUGGGUGGCUCAACUGGGUGAGCAUCUCACUCUUGAUUUUGCCUCAGGUCAUGAUCUCAUGGUUCCUGAGUUUGAACUCCACAUCAGGCUCUGCGCUGAUAGCAGAGGGAUUCUCUCUCUCUCUCUCUCUCUCUCUGCCCCUCCCCCGCCCGUGCACCAUGCUUUCUCUCUAAAUAAAUGAAUAAACAUUUAAAUCUAUCUAUCUACCUAUCUAUCUAUGUAUCUAUGUAUAUUUAUAUUUGAAACCCUUCGGAAUAAACUUUUAACAAAUAAGUAAACCCAAGCCACUCCAAUAUUUUCCCAGUAUAUUCUCCCAAAGAAGGCUCUUCAGUGUUAGAAUGGUUGUUCCCUCACAAGUAGUACACAGGUUGAGACCAGAGAAAGAAUUCCAAGUGGAGGGUAAAACCCCAGGCCAUCAUGGGGGGCCAAACCCUCUUUCAAAUGGAGUGCUAUUUACUUAGGGGGUGAGGGGCUCUGUCUUGUGUGUCUUAAACCAGACUGUUCCCUGUUGGGUGGAAGCAACAUAUUACACCUGGACAGCUCCCUGCCCCAACCUAGGUUAAGAAAUGGGAUUUGUAAAGACUAGUAGGUUGGAUCCAAGGCAGAGGGAGGAGGUAAAAUUAGAUGUCUCUUUUUGUGAGGCUUGGAUGAGGUUGAGGUCUGAGAUCAGAGGUCAAGGAUGGGGCUGGAGGGAUGGGCGUGUCACUAAGGUGAGUGUGCUGUGCCAAGACCUAAGAGGCUUCGGGAGCUGACCUUCCUGGCCUUCAUGCCUUUCUCCUUGGUGCCAGUUCUCUGGGAUGGAGACAGAGCUCCUACCCAUCUCCCCCUCAACCCCCCUGCCCAUCUCCCUCCCACACCAUUCUCCUCUCUGUCCAGUUCUCUGAUCCAUUUCCAUUCUCUCCUUCCUCAAGCCCCUUCCUCAUCUCCAUUUGCCAUUCCCUGUCCUCCGCCCUGCCAGACACCCCAGUUCAGGGUCCAGGAGAAGGACAGCUUUUAUGUGGCUUGUAAAAUUCUAUUAUAUCUGUAUUCAAAACCUAGCAGCUGAGAAACACUGGUAAUAAGCGUGUUAUUAAGCGUGUAAAUACACUUCCACUCCAAGGCCUCUAAGGGGCAAGGGCUGGAUUCUCAGGCUGGGCAUCUCCCCUGCUUGUAAGUCCCUCCCCACCUGGCCUCCACCCCAGACUUGGACCUUGUGCCAAGGCCCAGGUCUCCUCCAGUCUCCAACCACCACCGUCCUGCAAAAUCCAGACUCUUGGAGAAAGGGGGCGGGGGAAGGGGCCGAAGAAAAAAAACAUUAGGAAAAAAACUCCCACCCAGAGAGCAUUCUUUCUGCAGCACUCAGGAAAAAGGAUGUCUCACAGGGGACGGGAAGGCGAAAUUUUUUCACAUCCAAAUGGAUUGCAAUUUCCCUCCAUUUAGCACCUGAAGGUAAUUAGCUCGAAGAGACUGCCGAGUGCGAAACACGUUCACGGAACAUUAACUCUCACACAUUCUCCAGUUGCAGGGAAUUAAUAGGAAAGAUUAAAGUUUAAAGAGAGCAAAAUGCCAUUACCUCGCCAGCCACCUCUCUCCGCGGCAGUCUCCAGCCCCCGAAAACCUUCGGCCAGUGCUUGGGCCGGGGCUCCGGUCUCAGCCUCCAGCCUGGCUGGCUGGGGCAUCUGGGUGUGCCUCACCAAGAAGGCUAGCAUGUGCUGAUGUGCACGCACGUGUGCAAAACAGGGCAGCUCUGCAAGGCCAGUGUGGCCCCCCUCCCAUCCACGAGAAGUUUGGGGUAGACAGGGCAGGUGUGUUCUCAUAGGCUGACUCCUGGCAUUGGUGUGUAUGGUGGCCCUGGGCGGGGGCGGAUGGGGGAGAUACUAGGAAGGGUUAUUAGCUUGGGCGUGCCCUGUGAUUUCGGUGCAGAGGGCGAGAUCUGGCAGCUUGGCUGGCAAUAGAGAAAUGGGGGGUGUCAGUCCCACCUUGGGUGUAUAGAGAGCCACUGGGUGAAGUGAUGGAGAGAGUUGCUUCCACUCUUGUGCGGCACGCAGGAGCCACAAAGAUACGUGUGCAUGCAUACGCAGGCUCCCACGACCACACACAGACGGCCUUUGUCACUCUGCUUUUUUCAAAGUUUAUGUAGGCUUCAAAUUGGAAAGGUUUCUGUGUUGCUUCAGUAUUUUAGGAAAAGAUGAAAGACAGAGAGAGGGAGACAGAGAGAGAGUGGGGGAGAGAGAGAGUGAGGGAGAGAGAGAGGGGCAGAGGCAGGCAGGAGAGAGAGAGCGCGAGAUGAAAUUGAGACAUGGAAGAAUUUAUUGCCCAGAAAAUUCCAUUCUGCUAUCUGAUUCAAAAAGUCCAGUCCCCCCAGCUUCGGAAAAUCUAUUUUCCACAUUUUAAUACCCUGCAGAACAGUCCUCAUAACUCAUCCGAGUGUGUUAAGCACAGUUUUAUUAGAUCUGAAACAAAUUUUGGUGGGGAGAUACUAUAGGUCAUUAACCAUGGAGUAAUUUUAUCCUUGUUUCCCUAAUGAUGCCAUAAUGGCGAGCGAAUUUCUUAACUAAAGACCAAAGAACAUUUUGAAGGUCAGUUUCAUCUGUGAGCUCCUUCAAGCGCUUCUCAGAGAAGAUUGGAAAACUCGCCGAUUUUUUGAAGAGUCAUUAAUAAUGUGAAAGCUGAAAGCACCCUCCAUUUGCGUUCCUGCUUUUUACCUUUUAAUUUUAUAUCGUCCCCGCUCAGAGCCCCGCUCCCACUCCCUCACCCUCCUCUGGACCUCCCGCCUGCCUACCCACCCCACGCAGGGAACAAGGCUGCCCCAUACCAGGUACCAGGCUAGCUGUGAGGGGCAGACAGGGGCUGCAGGAGGGGAGGCAGAAGAGCUAGGGAGGCCAGGGCCCCAAAGAGAUGGGGGCCUUUGCUAAAUUCCCAGAAUGUGGUGUACUGUGUGAGGGUAUUGUUAUAGUCAUGGUACACGUGUGCAUGUGUGCAUGUGUGCAAAUGUGCAGUGCAGGGGACUGGGGUCUCUGGAUUGCAUGCUGGUUGUGCGCACACAUGCUAGGGACCAAUGGGGACUUAGUAGUCUCUAUAGGUGGGUGCCCUCUGUUGGACGCAGGUGGGGAAAGAGAACUGGAAACCAGCACUGGGUCCAGUGGCUUGGGCAGUGGGUCAGCUGGGGGACUUGAGGUAUCUCCCAACAGAGAUGGACAACACGUGCAAGGCAUGAAACAAUUGAUAGCACAUUGUGAGCCCUGAUUACAAUGUGUGCACAUGAGCGUAUAUGUCCUGGGGGUGGUGAGGUCAUCAAGGCAAGAGCCCCAAGGGCCCUCUCUACUGGCAAAUAUUUAGACACUUGAAACAGUGACCAUUGUCUGCCCAUCCCUCACUCCUUGGACCACUCACUCCUUGCUCCCCAGGCCUGGAGCCCUUCAUUUGCCCACUUUACUCCCUCCUAAUCUCCAGUCUCUGGCUCCUUGGACCCCCCCCCCCCCGCCUCCCAGUUCCACCCCUUCCCCUGAACACUCCUCCCCCCAGCUCCUCACCUAUCUGAUGGCUAUCAUUGCAGGGUGCCCAGCCAGGAGCCGGGGUGGGACAGCAUCUCUGUGUGUGUGCAGGUUUGGGGAGGAGGGGGCGGUGUGGUGACACUCCAUGCUCCCAGAUGUGGUGGCAGCGAUAAUUCCAAUUUUAUGCCUUUGUUAUGGCUUUAAUCACUUUCUUUAUGCGUUUUGUUCCAGCGAUCAGGGAGAGACACCUGAUAGGCAAAGAGGAUACCAGGGGAACCAUUUUUAUUUGGAAUGUGGUGAGAAGUCUAAUUAGAAUCUGAAUUCUGCUGAGCCUUGAAAUGGCCAGCACUUUAUCCUGAUCGCCUUAGAUAUUGUUUCGAGUCAAUCAUCUGUCAUGGUGCGGCAGGAGAGCCUCUCCCUUCACACCGCACCCCUCCCGCCACGGGGCCAGCCCAGGCACACUGGGGGAGGGGAGGCUCAGGCUUCCGCCCUGCCCUCGUAGGGAUCUGUGCCUCCUUCUGGGGAGGGGGGGCUGUUUGGUAUAGCCAACCCUCCAUUGGUGAGGGCUGUCUUUGCUGGGUGCUGAGUUUCAGCUCAUGGGGGUGGAGAGAGGGGCUGCAGGAAGAGGGGCCUGAGAGGCCUGUAUUAGAAUUAGGAAAUAUUGAGGUGAGGCCAAGCUAGUCUGGGGCACCUCCUAAAUGCUCUCAGUACACUGGCCACCCCACCUCCUAUCAAUGGCUCACAGCGACUCUCCUCUCUUUACUGUCCCCUGGACAUAUUGUAUCUCUGCCACCUGCUCACUGUCCCUCAAACUCACUGCUCCCAUUGCCAACCCCUCCCUGACCAACACUUGCCACACAUUCAGCUCCUGGUCUCCGACUUUCCUCCCUCCAGUCCUGCCGCUGGACCACCAAUCCGGCUUGUUCUGCCAUCUGUCGAGUCCCUAGACUGGUUCCACCUCCUCCAGAAAGCCUUCCCUGACUACCUGAACCCACACAGGUGAGCUCGAGAGGUGGACAGUUACAACACAGGCCCCCAUCUGGCGAUGGCCGCGCUGACUGCCGACACUCCUCCCACAAGACCCCGCUCCAUUUAUCUUUCUCCUGCCUUCAGAUGAUUUCCAGUUGUCCUCUCUCUUUUUCUAAACUGUUUUGGUGUGUGUGUGUGUGUGUGUGUGUGUGUGUGUGUGUGUGUGUGUGUCCUAAAUCUGCUCAAACCCUUUUUGAGCAUAGCAAAAUGUAAAGUAGAAAUAAAUAUUACUCUGAAUGAUAAUUUCACCUCCCCAAUCACAUCUUGUGCUCCCAAAGUCUGACCAUUUCUUCCCUGUAUCCUGCCUUUUCCACUAACUAUAAGCACACAGGACCAGGCACAGAGUGGGGAGCUGUGUAUUGCCUCCAGAAGUCAGAGAUUCACGGAAGCUUUCUGCUUCCUGCUUCCCCUCAUACAUAACCCCCAAUACAUACCUACUAUGUGACAGAUGUAGGCAUAGUUGGGGGACUAUUAGUAGCCAAAUGAAGUGCCAUUUCUGGCAGGAAAGAGGAGCAUGUGCUCUAUGAAUAAUGUUUCCAUGGGAGAUGGCCAAUGUGGGUCCUUUUUAGAUGGUUGGGGCACUCAGUGGCCCUCUAGCCACUUAGUGUGCCCCAUAAAGCAGAAUGUCCUCAUUGAUGUCAGUAUCACUGGGCCUCCUGGAUGGUCACUGCCCUCUUGAGAUUAUCUAUGUAGCCAGGGUACCUUAUGUAUGGUCCAAGGGGCAGUGUGACCAGAUGCUGCCAUAGAAAAAUACAGACUCAGAGGGUCCCCAGAGUACCCUUCUCAAUCUGCUCACUUCCCCAUCCCUAUCUGGACCCAAGCUUGAAUGCAAUCCUGACUCAUUUUAUUUGAGGAUGGUCUCUUUCCCUCCUUGCACCUCAGUUCUUCCUGGUCCCUGAGCUGUGGGCAAGGAGUGGGGAUGGCACUAACCAUAGUCCAGGAAAUCAUGGGGCUUGUUGGGAGACGGUUCUCUGGAAUACAUUGCCAGGACUCUAUUCCUUUCUCCCUCCCAGCAGCCCCUAUCCGGAGGCAUGGCUGUACUGACACCACACUGAUGGAUGGAGAGUGAAGAGAUACAGGGAGAUGGAGAAGGAAUCCAUAGCCAGGGGUCCUCAUUUAUAGGGGAAGGCACGACGGUGGCCGGAGGGACUUAGGAGCAAGCUUCCUAGUGGGAAAUUGCAAGCUGCCAUUAGCGUUUAGGUACAAGUUAAUAUAUCUGAGGGAGUGUGUGUGUGUGUGUGUGUGUGUGCGUGCGCGCACGCGCGCGCGCGCACACACACACACACACACCCGCAUAUGAUGGAGGGUCAGUAGGUGAGGGGUUACGGUCCCUAUAGGGAAGAAGCAGAACGCUGGCACACUUGGUCUGCCCAUAGAGAAGGGUGGGAGUUCAAGGGUGGCUCAUGCUACAACUACUGUUUCUCCAUCUAUACAAAUAGUGGGGAGAUGGAGCUCCUGGCCCAGGGAGCACAUGUGUUGGGUGAGGGUGGCGGGCGGGAGGACAGAGAUGCCAAAGCUACUAAAGGCCUAGUCUCUUCCCAUCUCAGACACCCUCAAGGCACUGUCCUCUCUCUACAUCCAGAGCUCGGCUGCAGUGGGGGGAGAUGAAAAGGAGGAGAAACUGUUGGAUAAAAAGAAAUUCAAAAAAAAAAAAGUAAUCUCUCCCAAAUGUAGCCACAGUGCAAAGCUCUCCACUGUUCUCUCCAGUCUCUCGGGAGAUCUCAGUCACUUGGGAACUUGCAGCUGUCACCCCUGAGCAGGUGGGAGAGCCAAACUCUGGGAAGAUGAAGUUCUCCUCAAGAGAAAUGAAAACGUGGGUCUACACAAAAACUUGUACAACAAUGGUUGGGGCAGUAUUUUUCAUAAUGGCUCAAAAGUGGAAAGAACCCAAAUGUCCAUCAACUGGUGAAUACGUAAAUAAAAUGUAGUAUAUCCAUA
Leopardus geoffroyi (Geoffroy's cat) is the source of this 16652-nucleotide long non-coding RNA. RefSeq lists it as uncharacterized. The transcript has 3 exons. NCBI's taxonomy places the organism in Eukaryota, Metazoa, Chordata, Mammalia, Carnivora, Felidae. The record is from RefSeq and is a predicted model, not a curated record.